Molecule: unclassified non-coding RNA, 262 nt
Filed under: plant metagenome
Description: partial contains small subunit ribosomal RNA, internal transcribed spacer 1, and 5.8S ribosomal RNA
Source: RNAcentral
UUUCCGUAGGUGAACCUGCGGAAGGAUCAUUAUUGUAUAACCGAGGUGCGAGGGCUGUCGCUGACCCGAAAGGUCGUGCACGCCCGAGUGCCCUCACACACAUCCAUCUCACCCCUAUGUGCACCACCGCGUGGGUCCCCCUCGGCUUGUUCGGAGGGGGGCUUACGUUUUUACACAAACUUUGUAUGCAGUGUGGAAUGUAUUUUUUGUUUUUGCGAUCACGCAAUCAAUACAACUUUCAACAACGGAUCUCUUGGCUCUC